Molecule: long non-coding RNA, 269 nt
Organism: Ostrea edulis (European flat oyster)
Lineage: Eukaryota; Metazoa; Mollusca; Bivalvia; Ostreida; Ostreidae
Exons: 2
Source: RefSeq, a predicted model, not a curated record
AACUCUUUUGUAUUUUGAGUUAACGCACGUUUUUCUUCGCGCCAGCAAUGUUUAGAGCAUUCUGUGUAUUCAUCUUUUCUUUUUGGUUCGCCACGGUCCUUUUACCACUUUCACUUGCACCUGUGCAACAUUAAAAGGCGGUUAACUAUCUGCGGACUUCGUCUUGUCUAUGGCAGAAUAGCGUUAAAGAAAAGAGUGCGCAAUGCUGAAAAACUUUAAUAGUUCAAUUCUUGAAUUGAUUUUCAAUAAAUAUUAUAAAAAUCAACCUA